AGUAAGAAUAGAUAAGACAAUUACGAAUUACAGCUACAAUAGUUGAUAAUCCUUGAAGACAGACAGUCCCAGCAUGGUGGAAUUGACAGCAUUUUACUGGUUACAUGGAAGAAAUAAGAGUUCAUGUGCUAUCAAUUUAAUUUAGUGGAUAAGAUUUCAUGUUUAACUGGCUACCGCAAGGUGGGGCUGGUGGUCUAAGUUUUCUGCUUUGUGUGAGAGACUAUACUAAGCAAAGCAACUGCUGAUGUUGACAAAGGGGUCCAUGAUGAGACUAGUUUCUUUUAGGUGGUUCUGUUUUUUGAAAAUAUGGGCUUGGAUAAAGAAACUAUUGGGAGAAUUAUUUUUCGCUGCCAGCAUUGAUAAAACUCUUUAGAGGAAGAUUGAAUUCCUUUCUAGGGUUGGCGUUUUUUAAGCUUAUUUUCCUGGGAUAA
Non-coding RNA from Arachis ipaensis, 431 nucleotides. The record is from RefSeq and is a predicted model, not a curated record. NCBI's taxonomy places the organism in Eukaryota, Viridiplantae, Streptophyta, Magnoliopsida, Fabales, Fabaceae.